GAUGAACGCUGGCGGCGUGCCUAAUACAUGCAAGUCGAGCGAACGGACGAGAAGCUUGCGUCUCUGAUGUUAGCGGCGGACGGGUGAUUAACACGUGGAUAACCUACCUAUAAGACUGGGAUAACUUCGGGAAACCGGAGCUAAUACCGGAUAAUAUUUUGAACCUCAUGGUUCAAAAGUGAAAGACGGUCUUGCUGUCACUUAUAGAUUGCUCCGUGCUGCAUUAGCUAGUUGGUAAGGUAACGGCUUACCAAGGCAACGAUGCAUAGCCGACCUGAAAGGGUGAUCGGCCACACUGGAACUGAGACACGGUCCAGACUCCUACGGGAGGAAGCAGUAGGGAAUCUUCCGGAAUGGGCGAAAGCCUGACGGAGGAACGCCGCGUGAGUGAUGAAGGUCUUCGGAUCGUAAAACUCUGUUAUUAGGGAAGAACAUAUGUGUAAGUAACUGUGCACAUCUUGACGGUACCUAAUCAGAAAGCCACGGCUAACUACGUG
RNAcentral lists this ribosomal RNA (497 nucleotides) under uncultured bacterium. RNAcentral describes it as "partial 16S ribosomal RNA". It matches the Rfam family "Bacterial small subunit ribosomal RNA", at positions 28 to 507 of the family's 1533-position model. The record is from RNAcentral.